RNAcentral lists this ribosomal RNA (301 nucleotides) under uncultured Ignicoccus sp. RNAcentral describes it as "bacterial SSU rRNA". It matches the Rfam family "Bacterial small subunit ribosomal RNA", at positions 495 to 795 of the family's 1533-position model. The record is from RNAcentral. Lineage: Archaea; Thermoproteati; Thermoproteota; Thermoprotei; Desulfurococcales; Desulfurococcaceae.
CUGUAACGUGUUCCGUUAUGCAGCGGUAAUAAGUAGUGUGCGAGCGUUAACCGUAGUUGUUUGGUUUAAAGGGUUCGCAGGCUGUUGAUUAAGUAGGAUGUGAAAUUGUUAAGCUCAACCGAUGAACUGCUUUUGAAACUGGUAUCCUAGAGUUUAGGUGAAGUAGGCGGAAUUUGUGGUGUAGCGGUGAAAUGCAUAGAUAUCACGAGGAACUCCGAUUGCGCAGGCAGCUUACUAAACUACUACUGACGCUCAGGCACGAAGGCGUGGGGAUCAAACAGGAUUAGAUACCCCGGUAGUC